CAUGGAACACAUGGAUUAUUAUUUUGGAUAAGUUGUUAAAUUCCAGGUUCCAUUUAUAUUUGAAAAUUAAUUAUCAUAGAAUGCUGUUCAGGAUUUUGCCCCUCGUCCAGAGUUCACCUCGAGCAUAAAAUUCUUAAACUUAAAUUGAUUCACUUAAAUUUGUUGCAUUAGUCACCUGACAAACAAAUAGCUGAGUUUUGCGUAGAUUACAAUGUCGAGUUUUGAGCACAAUUGUUUUUUGAUCUUUGUUAGCACCUGAGAGUGUGUGAGGGGGUCACUGAUAAACACUUAACUGUACUGCAACAGGUGAGAGCUGUGCGAGAGCGAGUGUGAACUUAACGUGGCAAAUGCCUUCGGACGAAUGAGCGUUGCAUGCAACGUAGUAUGACAGGUGGUAAACUUAUCGAAACUCAACACCUGGCUGGUGUCUGGCGCUGAUUUAGCCACAGGCACUCAAACUGGGCGAAGCAGGUCGAAAAGGUGUCGACUCGCGGGCCACUAAGUUUGCCAGGUGCAAAUACAGGCCAGCUACCUGAAGUCAACAACUUGUCAUAUUGUCACACAUAGCCCCUGCUAACCGCAACCCCCCUCCCAGCCCCCCAAGCAGCUGCGGUUGUACGCCACGCCACAACUAAAACCGCGUUUCGGGCCGUAGCUUUUAAAUACAUUUCGCAGUCUAACAUCCAAAAUGACGAAAGUGGCGCUCAGCAAAGCGUCUCAAAUUCAAUUAACAUGCAAAAUUACGUGGAAAAUGCAUUACAAUUCCCAACUGUGGUUGGUCAACUAAAACGGUUUUCAGGAGAUUCCUUGCAAAAAAACUGACAAGUGUCGAUUAAAUGCAAAAUAAACUAUACAUAUAUCUAGUUAUAACAUAAUAUAUAACUAGUUAUAAUAUAAAUUGGAAAAUAUACGUGUUGAAAUCAA
Molecule: long non-coding RNA, 924 nt
Organism: Drosophila montana
Lineage: Eukaryota; Metazoa; Arthropoda; Insecta; Diptera; Drosophilidae
Exons: 2
Source: RefSeq, a predicted model, not a curated record